RNAcentral lists this ribosomal RNA (2923 nucleotides) under Salmonella enterica subsp. enterica serovar Enteritidis str. EC20121826. RNAcentral's name for it is "bacterial LSU rRNA". It matches the Rfam family "Bacterial large subunit ribosomal RNA". Lineage: Bacteria; Pseudomonadati; Pseudomonadota; Gammaproteobacteria; Enterobacterales; Enterobacteriaceae. The record is from RNAcentral.
GGGUUGUGAGGUUAAGCGACUAAGCGUACACGGUGGAUGCCCUGGCAGUCAGAGGCGAUGAAGGGCGUGCUAAUCUGCGAUAAGCGCCGGUAAGGUGAUAUGAACCGUUAUAACCGGCGAUACCCGAAUGGGGAAACCCAGUGUGACUCGUCACACUAUCAUUAACUGAAUCCAUAGGUUAAUGAGGCGAACCGGGGGAACUGAAACAUCUAAGUACCCCGAGGAAAAGAAAUCAACCGAGAUUCCCCCAGUAGCGGCGAGCGAACGGGGAGGAGCCCAGAGCCUGAAUCAGCAUGUGUGUUAGUGGAAGCGUCUGGAAAGGCGCGCGAUACAGGGUGACAGCCCCGUACACAAAAGCGCAUGUGCUGUGAGCUCGAUGAGUAGGGCGGGACACGUGGUAUCCUGUCUGAAUAUGGGGGGACCAUCCUCCAAGGCUAAAUACUCCUGACUGACCGAUAGUGAACCAGUACCGUGAGGGAAAGGCGAAAAGAACCCCGGCGAGGGGAGUGAAAAAGAACCUGAAACCGUGUACGUACAAGCAGUGGGAGCCCCUUUGGGGUGACUGCGUACCUUUUGUAUAAUGGGUCAGCGACUUAUAUUCUGUAGCAAGGUUAACCGAAUAGGGGAGCCGGAGGGAAACCGAGUCUUAAUUGGGCGUUAAGUUGCAGGGUAUAGACCCGAAACCCGGUGAUCUAGCCAUGGGCAGGUUGAAGGUUGGGUAACACUAACUGGAGGACCGAACCGACUAAUGUUGAAAAAUUAGCGGAUGACCUGUGGCUGGGGGUGAAAGGCCAAUCAAACCGGGAGAUAGCUGGUUCUCCCCGAAAGCUAUUUAGGUAGCGCCUCGUGAAUUCAUCUCCGGGGGUAGAGCACUGUUUCGGCUAGGGGGCCAUCCCGGCUUACCAACCCGAUGCAAACUGCGAAUACCGGAGAAUGUUAUCACGGGAGACACACGGCGGGUGCUAACGUCCGUCGUGAAGAGGGAAACAACCCAGACCGCCAGCUAAGGUCCCAAAGUCAUGGUUAAGUGGGAAACGAUGUGGGAAGGCCCAGACAGCCAGGAUGUUGGCUUAGAAGCAGCCAUCAUUUAAAGAAAGCGUAAUAGCUCACUGGUCGAGUCGGCCUGCGCGGAAGAUGUAACGGGGCUAAACCAUGCACCGAAGCUGCGGCAGCGACACUGUGUGUUGUUGGGUAGGGGAGCGUUCUGUAAGCCUGUGAAGGUGUGUCGUGAGGCAUGCUGGAGGUAUCAGAAGUGCGAAUGCUGACAUAAGUAACGAUAAAGCGGGUGAAAAGCCCGCUCGCCGGAAGACCAAGGGUUCCUGUCCAACGUUAAUCGGGGCAGGGUGAGUCGACCCCUAAGGCGAGGCCGAAAGGCGUAGUCGAUGGGAAACGGGUUAAUAUUCCCGUACUUGGUGUUACUGCGAAGGGGGGACGGAGAAGGCUAUGUUGGCCGGGCGACGGUUGUCCCGGUUUAAGCGUGUAGGUGUGUGUUCCAGGUAAAUCCGGUUCACUUUAACACUGAGGCGUGACGACGAGGCACUACGGUGCUGAAGCAACAAAUGCCCUGCUUCCAGGAAAAGCCUCUAAGCAUCAGGUAACAUCAAAUCGUACCCCAAACCGACACAGGUGGUCAGGUAGAGAAUACCAAGGCGCUUGAGAGAACUCGGGUGAAGGAACUAGGCAAAAUGGUGCCGUAACUUCGGGAGAAGGCACGCUGACACGUAGGUGAAGUGAUUUACUCAUGGAGCUGAAGUCAGUCGAAGAUACCAGCUGGCUGCAACUGUUUAUUAAAAACACAGCACUGUGCAAACACGAAAGUGGACGUAUACGGUGUGACGCCUGCCCGGUGCCGGAAGGUUAAUUGAUGGGGUCAGCGCAAGCGAAGCUCCUGAUCGAAGCCCCGGUAAACGGCGGCCGUAACUAUAACGGUCCUAAGGUAGCGAAAUUCCUUGUCGGGUAAGUUCCGACCUGCACGAAUGGCGUAAUGAUGGCCAGGCUGUCUCCACCCGAGACUCAGUGAAAUUGAACUCGCUGUGAAGAUGCAGUGUACCCGCGGCAAGACGGAAAGACCCCGUGAACCUUUACUAUAGCUUGACACUGAACAUUGAGCCUUGAUGUGUAGGAUAGGUGGGAGGCUUUGAAGUGUGGACGCCAGUCUGCAUGGAGCCGACCUUGAAAUACCACCCUUUAAUGUUUGAUGUUCUAACGUGGACCCGUUACCCGGGUUGCGGACAGUGUCUGGUGGGUAGUUUGACUGGGGCGGUCUCCUCCUAAAGAGUAACGGAGGAGCACGAAGGUUGGCUAAUCCUGGUCGGACAUCAGGAGGUUAGUGCAAUGGCAUAAGCCAGCUUGACUGCGAGCGUGACGGCGCGAGCAGGUGCGAAAGCAGGUCAUAGUGAUCCGGUGGUUCUGAAUGGAAGGGCCAUCGCUCAACGGAUAAAAGGUACUCCGGGGAUAACAGGCUGAUACCGCCCAAGAGUUCAUAUCGACGGCGGUGUUUGGCACCUCGAUGUCGGCUCAUCACAUCCUGGGGCUGAAGUAGGUCCCAAGGGUAUGGCUGUUCGCCAUUUAAAGUGGUACGCGAGCUGGGUUUAGAACGUCGUGAGACAGUUCGGUCCCUAUCUGCCGUGGGCGCUGGAGAACUGAGGGGGGCUGCUCCUAGUACGAGAGGACCGGAGUGGACGCAUCACUGGUGUUCGGGUUGUCAUGCCAAUGGCACUGCCCGGUAGCUAAAUGCGGAAGAGAUAAGUGCUGAAAGCAUCUAAGCACGAAACUUGCCCCGAGAUGAGUUCUCCCUGAGACUUAGAGUCUCCUGAAGGAACGUUGAAGACGACGACGUUGAUAGGCCGGGUGUGUAAGCGCAGCGAUGCGUUGAGCUAACCGGUACUAAUGAACCGUGAGGCUUAACCUUACAACGCCGAAG